This 300-nucleotide ribosomal RNA is filed under the name Triticum aestivum (bread wheat). RNAcentral describes it as "partial small subunit ribosomal RNA". The record is from RNAcentral. Lineage: Eukaryota; Viridiplantae; Streptophyta; Magnoliopsida; Poales; Poaceae.
AUGUACUUGCAGCUCCUGUGCGGCCUCGUGCGCCGCGAGAUGGCCGUGCUGGAUGGCGGCGAGCGGCGAGGUCGAUCUGUAGUACGCGCAGCUGUGCGGCUCGUGCACCGUGCGGACGUGCUCUGCAUCGACAUGGUCUUUGCGGCCAGGUUUCUCCGUCUUGUGUCGGUGCCCAGCGAGCUUCCCAUCCAGUGCGCCGCCGAUUGGGGCUCAGGGCUCCUAGGCAUGGGCCUGUACUGGCGGCCAGCGAGCUUCCGUCCAAUUCAGCCUUUGUUUGUCUUGUUGAGAUUAUCCUUUUGA